GACGAACGCUGGCGGCGUGCCUAAUACAUGCAAGUUGAGCGAUGAAGUCUGGUGCUUGCACCAAUUUGAAGAGCAGCGAACGGGUGCGUACCGCGUGGGGAAUCUGCCUUUGCGCGGGGGACAACAAUUGGAAACGAAUGCUAAUACCGCAUAACAACUUUAAACAUAAGUUUUAAGUUUGAAAGAUGCAAUUGCAUCACUCAAAGAUGUUCCCGCGUUGUAUUAGCUAGUUGGUGAGGUAAAGGCGCACCAAGGCGAGGAUACAUAGCCGACCUGAGAGGGGAAGCUGCCACAUUGGGACGGAGGCACGGCCCGAACCCCUACGGGAGGCAGCAGUACGGAAUCUUCGGGGAAGGACGAAAGUCGGAACAAUCAACGCCGCGUGAGAGAAUGAGGUAGUCAGGUCGUGAAACUCAUUAGGGAGAGAGGAUCGUAGGGGAGAGUUGAAAGCGCAGCUAGUGACGGUAACGGCACAGAAAGGGACGGCUAACUACGUG
Molecule: ribosomal RNA, 497 nt
Filed under: uncultured bacterium
Lineage: Bacteria
Description: partial 16S ribosomal RNA
Rfam family: Bacterial small subunit ribosomal RNA
Source: RNAcentral